GUGGAUAUAGCUCAGUCGGUUAGAGCGCUGGAUUGUGGUUCCAGAGGUCGCGGGUUCGAAUCCCGUUAUCCACC
Molecule: transfer RNA, 74 nt
Filed under: Planctomycetaceae bacterium
Lineage: Bacteria; Pseudomonadati; Planctomycetota; Planctomycetia; Planctomycetales; Planctomycetaceae
Description: tRNA-His
Rfam family: tRNA
About the family: Transfer RNA (tRNA) molecules are approximately 80 nucleotides in length. Their secondary structure includes four short double-helical elements and three loops (D, anti-codon, and T loops). Further hydrogen bonds mediate the characteristic L-shaped molecular structure. tRNAs have two regions of fundamental functional importance: the anti-codon, which is responsible for specific mRNA codon recognition, and the 3' end, to which the tRNAs corresponding amino acid is attached (by aminoacyl-tRNA synthetases). tRNAs cope with the degeneracy of the genetic code in two manners: having more than one tRNA (with a specific anti-codon) for a particular amino acid; and 'wobble' base-pairing, i.e. permitting non-standard base-pairing at the 3rd anti-codon position.
Source: RNAcentral